This 903-nucleotide long non-coding RNA is filed under the name Carica papaya (papaya). RNAcentral describes it as "long non-coding RNA (CPAP_LNC010581)". The record is from RNAcentral. Lineage: Eukaryota; Viridiplantae; Streptophyta; Magnoliopsida; Brassicales; Caricaceae.
GUGUAUUAGAUCUUCUCUGUAGAUCAAGUUCUAUAUUUCCCUCAGAUAUCAAGGUUCAAGAUUACGAGAACACGAUCGUCAACCAGUGGAACCUAGAAACAGAAGAAGAUCAUGGGACAUGUCAAAUUCCAGUUAGAAACCACUACUGCCUGCUUUAUAUAUAUAUUCCAAUUACAUAUAUGUAUGCAACUAUAUAUUUGUGUGGACAUCAAGGUUGAAGAUUACGAAAACGCGAUCGUCAACCAGUAGAGAACCUAGAAACAGAAGAAGAUCACAGGACAUGUCAAAUUGCUUCUAACGAGAACAUUCAACGCUUGGUUUCUGGGCGUAUUAGAUCUUCUCUGUAGAUCAAGUUCUAUAUUUGCCUCGGACAUCAAGGUUCAAGAUUACGAGAACGCGAUCGUCAAUCAGUGAAGAACCUAGAAACAGAAGAAGAUCACGGGAUAUGUCAAAUUCCAGUUAGAAACCACUACUGCCUGCUUUAUAUAUAUAUUUGUGUGGACAUCAAGGUUGAAGAUUACGAGAACUCGAUCGUCAACCAGUGAAGAACUUAAAAACAGAAGAAGAUCACGGGACAUGUCAAAUUGCUUCUAACGAGAACAUUCAACGUUUGGUUUCUGGGCGUAUUAGAUCUUCUCUGUAGAUCAAGUUCUAUAUUUAAUGGAAAAACUUUGUUAAAAAAGAUUUAGGGAUUGAUUUCCAUAGAUUUUCUGUGUAAAUAUGAAGUUUUUGAUAUUACAAUUCCAUCAGAAUUUUCAUGUUUUAUUUUCAUCAAAAAGAAAAUAAAGCAAAUUUUUCCUUGUAAAUCAAUAAAAAAUAUUAAAUUCAUUUAUAUGAAAAAAAUUUGAAAAUAUAAUUUAAUAAACUGAAAAUGUUAUUAUAGCAAUAAAAAAUAAAGCAAAU